CAUUUUUAGAAAACAUUAAAAACUAUGCCUGCUCAAUGAAUUUUAAAUAGCCGCAAAUUUUGUGCUAAGGUAGCAUAAUCAAUUGCCUUUUAAUUUAAGGAUAGAAUGAAAGGCCAAACGAAUAAAAAACUUUAUUUGUUUUUUUUAAUAAAAUUAUUUUUCAAGUAAAAAACCUUGAAAUUUAAAAAAAGACGACAAGACCCUGAUGAACUUUACUAUAGUUAAGCUGGGGAAGCUGAAAAACAAUAUCUUUUACAACUUUUUAAAAAAGAACCUUAUUGAUAUUUGAACAAGUUACCACAGGGAUAACAGCAUAAUAAAUUUUUAAAGCCCAUAUUUAAAAAUUUGUUUAUGACCUCGAUGUUGAAUUAAUUUAACCUUUUUGAAGCAAAAUACAAAAAAGGAAGACUGUUCGUCUAAUAAAAAAUU
Molecule: ribosomal RNA, 429 nt
Filed under: Subantarctia sp. CASENT9035061
Lineage: Eukaryota; Metazoa; Arthropoda; Arachnida; Araneae; Orsolobidae
Description: partial 16S ribosomal RNA
Rfam family: Bacterial large subunit ribosomal RNA
Source: RNAcentral